ACUCUCACUUUGUCUCUCACUAAUCUGUGGUGAUCCAACACUGUCUUCGGUCACUCCAUUGACCAUAACAUUUCUUUGCCUCAACUCCCCAAACGGAAGUCCAGAAACUGAACAAUUACUCUCAGGCUUCGGCAGCGUAACAGGUUCCUCACAUACCACAACACUGCUGCACUGAGCAACACUGUAACAGUAACCGUUAAAUUCCCCGACGGAGGAUGAGCGACCUAGCUGCUCGUCCGUGACGGAAUAUUCGGAAAGUGUGGAAUGCUCCGCGAUUCUCUUGUGCUUCUUCUUUUUCUUCUUCCUCUUGCGGUUUCCGGUAGGGCUUGUGGCGUCAUCAUUAGGCAGAAGCUGCGGAGGAGGAUCGGAAUUGGAUCGGAGGAGAGUUGCGGUGGAGGAAUCGUAAUCGUGAUCGUCGUCUAGGAUGGAAGUUGAGAGAACGUCAAAUGAGACCUUGCGUCCAGUUGAUCUCAACGCCAUUGAUGAAGUUAGAAGCUAUGGCGAUGGUGGCGGUUCAUGGAUGGUUGCUGAUCGGCGACUAAGAAAUGAGAAGGGAAUCGGCGGAGAGGGGAGGAGGGUGGCAGUGGUGAAGAUUUGGGAAUUUUUGGGUUGGGCUUUUGAUGACUUGCCUUCUUUCUCGGGAAAAUUUGUCCCCGCAUUUGUAAGAUAAAAUGUAUAUUUGGACUAAAAUAGCCUUCAAAACAGAACACUUAAACACCUGUAAACAGCUCCUAUGGAAACGCUUCCGCCGAUAAACCUGUACUCGGAUGAUGUACAAUUUGAUAAGGAGAUUGAUUACGAUUCUAUAUCAGGAUAUACUCUGUAUAUAUGGAAAGAUUCAGUUGGAUCUUUAAUGGAUUCAGAAUUUGAGCAAUCUGUACGACCCGAUUCCGAUGAGGAUGAUUUAUGUGAAUUUGUGAUUGCUGAUUACCCCAUGUUUGCCAUGGAAAGAAACUCGUGAAGCUUUUGUCGAAUACUUGAUAUAUUGGGAUGGCGCAGGUGGAUCUAUAAAGAAGAAAACUUUGUUGCGUAUAACUUUGCUGAAUUCGAGUAAAUUUGCUAUCUGUGUGACUCUCGAUAAAUUAAAAAAUAGUUAAACUUACCUGCUGUUAUUAAAAAAUAGUUACAAUUUUAAAAUUAGUCGAAAUUUAGUUAUUAUUUUUUAUAUAAAGUUAAAUUUGAACAAAAAUAUUAUUUAAAAUUCAAAAAAUAAUCUAGCAUAAGUAAAGUAUAUCAAUCCAGCAUAAUAUAUUAUAAGUUUAUAUACAUGUACCGAAACUUGAGUGUAUUAUGUUGGAUCGAUCUUUGUUGCAAUAAAAUAAUGACUAUUUUUCAAUAACUCAAUAAAUAUGAAUUAUUUUUGAAUGACAAGUCCAAAAACUGAAUAGCUCGUGUUGACAUCUGACUUUAACAAACAAAAUUGGGCUUUGGAUAUUAGUGAAGGGCCAGAAGCUUGAAUUAAUGGGGUUUUAAUACAGUUACUCAUAAAAAUAAAAUUAUUUAAUUUUGUCUACUUAUUUAUUUUUUUACUCAUAAAUUAAUUAUAUUUUAUACUCAUAGUAGAUUUGUGAGGAAUUUCUUUUUAUUCUCCAAUUCUUUUUUAUUCUAUGCUUCUUUGCUUUUCUUUUUUUUUUCUUUUUCUUUUCUCCUUUUCCUUUUUCUCGUUUUCCUUUUAUUUUUUUUGUUUUUCCUAUUCUAAUUAUAUUUAACUUCUUUUUUUAUAUUUUUUCUCUCUUCGUAAUCUAAUUCUUCUACUAUUUUUAUUGUUUUUUAUUAUUCUUUUUUUAUAUUAUUAUUAAAGAAAAAUCAAAAUUGUGUACUAAUUACAUAUACCUAAUACAAUCAAAAAAACAUUAACUAAUAUUUGAUACAUGUAUAGCAUAUAGUUAUACCAACAGGGUAUAUACUUUUUCUACUCAAAAGAGCAGAGGGUUUAUAUAUAUAUAUAUAUAUAUAUCAUUUACCAUAACAUUUCUUUGCCUCAACUCCCCAAACGGAAGUCCAGAAACUGAACAAUUACUCUCAGGCUUCGGCAGCGUAACAGGUUCCUCACAUACCACAACACUGCUGCACUGAGCAACACUGUAACAGUAACCGUUAAAUUCCCCGACGGAGGAUGAGCGACCUAGCUGCUCGUCCGUGACGGAAUAUUCGGAAAGUGUGGAAUGCUCCGCGAUUCUCUUGUGCUUCUUCUUUUUCUUCUUCCUCUUGCGGUUUCCGGUAGGGCUUGUGGCGUCAUCAUUAGGCAGAAGCUGCGGAGGAGGAUCGGAAUUGGAUCG
RNAcentral lists this long non-coding RNA (2279 nucleotides) under Nicotiana benthamiana. RNAcentral's name for it is "long non-coding RNA (NBEN_LNC013303)". Lineage: Eukaryota; Viridiplantae; Streptophyta; Magnoliopsida; Solanales; Solanaceae. The record is from RNAcentral.